RNAcentral lists this ribosomal RNA (468 nucleotides) under uncultured bacterium. Its description in RNAcentral is "partial 16S ribosomal RNA". It matches the Rfam family "Bacterial small subunit ribosomal RNA", at positions 28 to 507 of the family's 1533-position model. The record is from RNAcentral.
GACGAACGCUUGCGGCGUGCUUAACACAUGCAAGUCGAACGGAAAGGCCCUGCUUUUGUGGGGUGCUCGAGUGGCGAACGGGUGAGUAACACGUGAGUAACCUGCCCUUGACUUUGGGAUAACUUCAGGAAACUGGGGCUAAUACCGGAUAGGAGCUCCUGCUGCAUGGUGGGGGUUGGAAAGUUUCGGCGGUUGGGGAUGGACUCGCGGCUUAUCAGCUUGUUGGUGGGGUAGUGGCUUACCAAGGCUUUGACGGGUAGCCGGCCUGAGAGGGUGACCGGCCACAUUGGGACUGAGAUACGGCCCAGACUCCUACGGGAGGCAGCAGUGGGGAAUAUUGCACAAUGGGCGGAAGCCUGAUGCAGCAACGCCGCGUGCGGGAUGACGGCCUUCGGGCUGUAAACCGCUUUCGCCUGUGACGAAGCGUGAGUGACGGUAAUGGGUAAAGAAGCACCGGCUAACUACGUG